This 429-nucleotide ribosomal RNA is filed under the name uncultured bacterium. Its description in RNAcentral is "bacterial SSU rRNA". It matches the Rfam family "Bacterial small subunit ribosomal RNA", at positions 355 to 776 of the family's 1533-position model. The record is from RNAcentral.
UAGGGAAUUUUCGGCAAUGGGGGCAACCCUGACCGAGCAAUGCCGCGUGAACGACGAAGGUCUUCGGAUCGUAAAGUUCUGUGAUUGGGGAAGAACAGCAUGAUCAGGAAAUGGGUCAUGUUUGACGGUACCCGAUUAGAAAGCCCCGGCUAACUAUGUGCCAGCAGCCGCGGUAAAACAUAGGGGGCGAGCGUUAUCCGGAAUUAUUGGGCGUAAAGAGUACGUAGGCGGCCUGUUAAGUCUGAUGUGAAAUCCCGCGGCUUAACCGCGGAGGGUCAUUGGAAACUGGCAGGCUUGAGUACGGCAGGGGUAAGUGGAAUUCCAAGUGGAGCGGUGAAAUGCGUAGAUAUUUGGAGGAACACCAGUGGCGAAGGCGGCUUACUGGGCCGGAACUGACGCUGAGGUACGAAAGCGUGGGGAGCAAACAGG